This 333-nucleotide ribosomal RNA is filed under the name Excirolana braziliensis. RNAcentral describes it as "partial 12S ribosomal RNA". It matches the Rfam family "Bacterial small subunit ribosomal RNA", at positions 875 to 1384 of the family's 1533-position model. The record is from RNAcentral. Lineage: Eukaryota; Metazoa; Arthropoda; Malacostraca; Isopoda; Cirolanidae.
AUGGAGGGGGUUUGAAAGGGGGGUAGUACCGGCUAUGGCCCCCAAACCCAAAGGACUUGGCGGCAGCCCACCCAACUAGAGGAGCCUGCCCCAUAACCGAUACCACCCGUUAACCCAACCUUCCAUAUGUUUGUAUACCGCCGUCUAACCUUUAACCUUCAGGUUAAGGUGGAAAGGAGACCCCCUAAGACAGGUCGAGGUGCAGCGCAUUGGGAGGAGGAGGUGGGCUACAGUUCUAUUAUUGAGCGGAUCUUUCUUUUAUAGGGAAGACUAAGAUGGAUUUAGAGGUAGCGGGGGGUCAAUACCUCCCCGUGAAUUGGAUUUGGGCCGUGU